Molecule: long non-coding RNA, 861 nt
Filed under: Piliocolobus tephrosceles (Ugandan red Colobus)
Lineage: Eukaryota; Metazoa; Chordata; Mammalia; Primates; Cercopithecidae
Description: lncRNA (ENSPTEG00000015463.1)
Source: RNAcentral
UAAACCUUAUAUAUAUAUAUACAUGUAUAUACAUGUAUAUGUAUGUUAAAAUUUCAGGUUUUGAAUGCAUCUUCUACACCUCAAAAUUUAUUUGGUGAUGCAAAUAGUAUUAGUAAACAUUUAGGAUGUAAUAAUAGUGUUAAUAUGGAUUUGACAGCUGCUUGUACGGGAUUCGUUUUUGCUUUUGCGACAGCUUAUAACUUUUUAAACAAAUAUAAAAAUAUUCUCAUAGUUGGAAGUGAUGCAUUAAGUAAUUUUUUAGAUUGGAGAGAUCGUAACACUUGUGUUUUAUUUGGAGACGCUGCAGGUGCUGUAGUAUUACAAAGAACAGAACCUAAUGAAAAAAAUCAUAUUUAUAAUUACUACCUUGGAUCUGAUAGCGAAUUAAAUGACUUGUUAACUAUAAAUUUUCAAAACAAUGAAUAUAACAUAGAUAAACCAAACACAAACAAAUAUGGAAAACUAAAUAUGAAUGGCAAAGAGGUGUUUAAAUAUACUAUAAGCAAUCUACCUAGGAUUUUAGAAAAAUCUGUAAAAGAUAGUAAACUAACGCUAGACGACAUAAACUAUUUUAUAUUCCAUCAAGCUAAUAUUAGAAUUUUAAAUACAGUUGCAAAGAAUUUAAAUAUACCAUCAUCAAAAAUUUUAGUAAAUUUAGACGAAUACGCAAACACGUCUGCUGCUUCAAUACCUUUAUGUUUCUCGGAAAAUAUAAAUAAUGGGAAAAUUAAAAAGAAUGAUAUAAUAUGUAUGUGUGGUUUUGGAGCAGGAAUGUCUUAUGGAUGUAUUAUAUUUAAAUAUUAAAAAAAAAAAAAUAAUAAUUAUAAUAAAAAAACAAAAUAUUAUAAAAUAAUAAUGACA